Molecule: ribosomal RNA, 403 nt
Filed under: bacterium
Lineage: Bacteria
Description: partial 16S ribosomal RNA
Rfam family: Bacterial small subunit ribosomal RNA
Source: RNAcentral
UGGGGUAUAUUGCACAAUGGGGGAAAUCCUGAUGCAGCGACGCCGCGUGAACGAAGAAGGUAUUCGUAUCGUAAAGUUCUGUCAUAUGGGAAGAUAAUGACAGUACCAUAGAAGAAAGCUCCGGCUAAAUACGUGCCAGCAGCCGCGGUAAUACGUAUGGAGCGAGCGUUGUCCGGCAUUAUGGUGGGUAAAGGGUACGCAGGCGGUUUAAUAAGUCGAAUGUUAAAGAUCGGGGCUCAACCCCGCAAAGCAGUGGAAACUGAUCAAAUUGAGUAGUGGAGUGGAAAGUGGAAUUCCUAGCGUAGUGGUGAAAUAAGUCGAUAUUAGGAGGAAUACCAGUAGCGAAGGCAGCUUUCUGGACGCAAACUAACGCUGAGGUACGAAAGAGUGGGGAGCAAACAGG